Molecule: ribosomal RNA, 254 nt
Filed under: uncultured bacterium
Lineage: Bacteria
Description: partial 16S ribosomal RNA
Rfam family: Bacterial small subunit ribosomal RNA
Source: RNAcentral
UACGUAGGACCCAAGCGUUAUCCGGAAUUACUGGGCGUAAAGAGUUGCGUAGGUGGUUUGUUAAGCGGGCAGUGAAAUCGUGUGGCUCAACCAUACACACAUUGUCUGAACUGGCAAACUUGAGUGAGAUAGAGGUAACUGGAAUUCCAAGUGUAGGAGUGAAAUCCGUAGAUAUUUGGAGGAACACCGAUGGCGUAGGCAGGUUACUGGAUCUCAACUGACACUAAGGCACGAAAGCAUGGGGAGCAAACGGG